RNAcentral lists this ribosomal RNA (253 nucleotides) under uncultured bacterium. Its description in RNAcentral is "partial 16S ribosomal RNA". It matches the Rfam family "Bacterial small subunit ribosomal RNA", at positions 524 to 776 of the family's 1533-position model. The record is from RNAcentral.
UACGGGGGGGGCAAGUGUUGUUCGGAAUUACUGGGCGUAAAGGGUUCGUAGGUGGCCAACUAAGUCAGACGUGAAAUCCCUCAGCUUAACUGGGGAACUGCGUCUGAUACUGGUUGGCUUGAGUGCAGGAGAGGAACGCGGAAUUCCAGGUGUAGCGGUGAAAUGCGUAGAUAUCUGGAGGAACACCGGUGGCGAAGGCGGCGUUCUGGACUGCAACUGACACUGAGGAACGAAAGCCAGGGUAGCAAACGGG